RNAcentral lists this ribosomal RNA (253 nucleotides) under uncultured bacterium. Its description in RNAcentral is "partial 16S ribosomal RNA". It matches the Rfam family "Bacterial small subunit ribosomal RNA", at positions 524 to 776 of the family's 1533-position model. The record is from RNAcentral.
UACAUGUGGGGCAAGCGUUGUUCGGAAUUACUGGGCGUAAAGCGUGCGCAGGCGGUUCGCUAAGACAGAUGUGAAAUCCCCGGGCUUAACCUGGGAACUGCAUUUGUGACUGGCGGGCUAGAGUAUGGCAGAGGGGGGUAGAAUUCCACGUGUAGCAGUGAAAUGCGUAGAGAUGUGGAGGAAUACCGAUGGCGAAGGCAGCCCCCUGGGCCAAUACUGACGCUCAUGCCCGAAAGCGUGGGGAGCAAACAGG